UGAGGAAUAUUGGUCAAUGGGCGAGAGCCUGAACCAGCCAAGUCGCGUGAAGGAAGAAGGUUCUAUGGAUUGUAAACUUCUUUUGUAAGGGAAUAAAAAGAGUUACGUGUAACUUAUUGUAUGUACUUUACGAAUAAGGAUCGGCUAACUCCGUGCCAGCAGCCGCGGUAAUACGGAGGAUCCAAGCGUUAUCCGGAUUUAUUGGGUUUAAAGGGUGCGUAGGCGGGCCCUUAAGUCAGUGGUGAAAGUUUGCAGCUUAACUGUAAAAUUGCCAUUGAAACUGAGGGUCUUGAGUGUAAAUAAGGUAGGCGGAAUGUGUUGUGUAGCGGUGAAAUGCUUAGAUAUAACACAGAACACCAAUUGCGAAGGCAGCUUACUGGGAUACAACUGACGCUGAGGCACGAAAGCCAGGGGAGCGAAUG
This 422-nucleotide ribosomal RNA is filed under the name uncultured prokaryote. RNAcentral describes it as "bacterial SSU rRNA". It matches the Rfam family "Bacterial small subunit ribosomal RNA", at positions 355 to 774 of the family's 1533-position model. The record is from RNAcentral.